UGCAGUCGAGCGAGGUCCAUCCGGUGGCAACACCGGGGAAGACCUAGCGGCGAACGGGUGAGUAACACGUGAGCAACCUGCCCCGAAGACUGGGAUAACACCGGGAAACCGGUGCUAAUACCGGAUGCCCUCCUCUGGUCGCAUGGCCUAGGGAGGAAAGGACUGCAUUUAAUAGAUGCAGCUUGCUUCGGGAGGGGCUCGCGGGCUAUCAGCUUGUUGGUGGGGUAACGGCUCACCAAGGCGACGACGGCUAGCUGGUCUGAGAGGACGACCAGCCACACUGGGACUGAGACACGGCCCAGACUCCUACGGGAGGCAGCAGCGGGGAAUCUUGCGCAAUGGGCGAAAGCCUGACGCAGCAACGCCGCGUGGGGGAUGAAGGCCCUCGGGUUGUAAACCCCUUUCAGCAGGGACGAAUCUGACGGUACCUGCAGAAGAAGCCCCGGCCAACUACGUGCCAGCAGCCGCGGUAAUACGUAGGGGGCGAGCGUUGUCCGGAUUUAUUGGGCGUAAAGAGCUCGUAGGCGGCUUGGCAAGUCGGGUGUGAAAACUCCAGGCUCAACCUGGAGACGCCACUCGAUACUGCCAUGGCUAGAGUCCGGUAGGGGACCACGGAAUUCCUGGUGUAGCGGUGAAAUGCGCAGAUAUCAGGAGGAACACCGGUGGCGAAGGCGGUGGUCUGGGCCGGCACUGACGCUGAGGAGCGAAAGCGUGGGUAGCAAACAGGAUUAGAUACCCUGGUAGUCCACGCCGUAAACGUUGGGCACUANGUGUGGGACCUUAUCAACGGGUUCCGUGCCGUAGCUAACGCAUUAAGUGCCCCGCCUGGGGAGUACGNCGCAAGGCUAAAACUCAAANGAAUUGACGG
This 868-nucleotide ribosomal RNA is filed under the name uncultured bacterium. RNAcentral describes it as "bacterial SSU rRNA". It matches the Rfam family "Bacterial small subunit ribosomal RNA", at positions 56 to 916 of the family's 1533-position model. The record is from RNAcentral.